AUACGUAGGGGGCGAGCGUUGUCCGGAAUGAUUGGGCGUAAAGGGCGCGUAGGCGGCCCGGUAAGUCUGGAGUGAAAGUCCUGUUUUUAAGAUGGGAAUUGCUUUGGAUACUGUCGGGCUCGAGUGCAGGAGAGGUAAGUGGAAUUCCCAGUGUAGCGGUGAAAUGCGUAGAGAUUGGGAGGAACACCAGUGGCGAAGGCGACUUACUGGACUGUAACUGACGCUGAGGCGCGAAAGUGUGGGGAGCAAACAGGAUUAGAUACCCUGGUAGUCCACACUGUAAACGAUGAAUGCUAGGUGUAGGGGGUAUCGACCCCUUCUGUGCCGCAGUCAACACAAUAAGCAUUCCGCCUGGGGAGUACGGCCGCAAGGUUGAAACUCAAAGGAAUUGACGGGG
Molecule: ribosomal RNA, 397 nt
Filed under: uncultured bacterium
Lineage: Bacteria
Description: partial 16S ribosomal RNA
Rfam family: Bacterial small subunit ribosomal RNA
Source: RNAcentral